UCCACGCUGUAAACGAUGGAUACUAGGUGUUGGCCCAUUUGGGGUCGGCGCCGCAGCUAACGCAUUAAGUAUCCCGCCUGGGGAGUACGACCGCAAGGUUGAAACUCAAAGGAAUUGACGGGGGCCCGCACAAGCGGUGGAGCAUGUGGUUUAAUUCGAUGCAACGCGAAGAACCUUACCUGGGCUUGAACCGCAGAUGAUAUCCCCUGAAAAGGGGCUUUCCUUCGGGACAUCUGUAGAGGUGCUGCAUGGCUGUCGUCAGCUCGUGCCGUGAGGUGUUGGGUUAAGUCCCG
RNAcentral lists this ribosomal RNA (293 nucleotides) under uncultured bacterium. RNAcentral describes it as "partial 16S ribosomal RNA". It matches the Rfam family "Bacterial small subunit ribosomal RNA", at positions 794 to 1089 of the family's 1533-position model. The record is from RNAcentral.